RNAcentral lists this ribosomal RNA (440 nucleotides) under uncultured bacterium. RNAcentral describes it as "partial 16S ribosomal RNA". It matches the Rfam family "Bacterial small subunit ribosomal RNA", at positions 338 to 795 of the family's 1533-position model. The record is from RNAcentral.
CCUACGGGAGGCAGCAGUAGGGAAUAUUGCUCAAUGGGGGAAACCCUGAAGCAGCAACGCCGCGUGGAGGAUUACUGUUUUAUGGUUUGAAAAUCCUUUUGUUAGGGGAGCUAAUGACGGUAUCUCACGAAUAAGCACCGGCGAACUCCAAGACAGCCGCCGCAGUACUACGGGGGGGGCAAGCGUUACUCGGAAUCACUGGGCGUAACGGGUGCGCAGGCGGGAUUGUAAGUCAGAUGUGAAAUCCUGGGGCUUAAAUACAGAACUGAAGUGGAAACUGUGCGUCUAGAGUGUGGGAGAGGUAGGUGGAAUUCUUGGUGUAGGGGUAAAAUGCGUAGAUAUCAAGAGGAAUACUCAUGGCGAAGGCGACCUACUGGAACAUUACUGACGCUCAUGCACGAAAGCGUGGGGAGCGAACAGGAUUAGAUACCCGUGUAGUC